Molecule: unclassified non-coding RNA, 207 nt
Filed under: Hevea brasiliensis (rubber tree)
Lineage: Eukaryota; Viridiplantae; Streptophyta; Magnoliopsida; Malpighiales; Euphorbiaceae
Source: RNAcentral
GUCCAAGAACCCAUAUAUUCCAUCCGAAUCCCUAGGAUCUAGAAGCAAUACAACUCUUAGAAGCACUCAACACCAUUGAAUAGAAGAAGAGAACCCAUCCAGAGAACUAUUGAUGUCAUGACCAAUUGAUGGCUCGAGUUAAAGAAGAAAUUGGAAUUUGCAAGGAGAGGCUUCCAUUAGCAAAGAGAGAAGACUAGAAAGGCGCAU